Molecule: transfer RNA, 78 nt
Filed under: Lentzea atacamensis
Lineage: Bacteria; Bacillati; Actinomycetota; Actinomycetes; Pseudonocardiales; Pseudonocardiaceae
Description: Lechevalieria atacamensis tRNA-Tyr
Rfam family: tRNA
About the family: Transfer RNA (tRNA) molecules are approximately 80 nucleotides in length. Their secondary structure includes four short double-helical elements and three loops (D, anti-codon, and T loops).
Source: RNAcentral
GUGGAGAUGGGGCUGUGGAGCCCCGCCCGUCUGUAAAACGGGAGCUCCGGCAAAGGCGGUUCGACUCCGUCCUCCACC